AUACGGAAGGUCCGGGCGUUAUCCGGAUUUAUUGGGUUUAAAGGGAGCGCAGGCGGAGAUGCAAGCGUGACGUCAAAUUUCGGGGCUCAACCCCGUCUCGCGUCGCGAACUGCGUCCCUUGGUUGCGGGAAGGGGAGGCGGAACUCGUGGUGUAGCGGUGAAAUGCAUAGAUAUCACGAAGAACUCCGAUCGCGAAGGCAGCCUUCCGGCCCGUCAACGACGCUCAUGCUCGAAGGUGCGGGUAUCAAACAGGAUUAGAAACCCUGGUAGUCCGCACAGUAAACGAUGGACACCCGCGGUUUGGCCUGUAUGGCUGAGCCGCCAAGCGAAAGCGUUAAGUGUCCCACCUGGGGAGUACGCCGGCAACGGUGAAACUCAAAGGAAUUGACGGGG
This 393-nucleotide ribosomal RNA is filed under the name uncultured bacterium. RNAcentral describes it as "partial 16S ribosomal RNA". It matches the Rfam family "Bacterial small subunit ribosomal RNA", at positions 523 to 918 of the family's 1533-position model. The record is from RNAcentral.